CAUGAUGUUAUUUCCCACUUCACAAGCACUUCAGGCUGAUAAACUAGAGUGAUCCACAUCCCAGCAGAUUUGUUUGAACUACUUUCUAAAGCUUCUGAUGGCUGACUGUGAAACAAGGCCCCUGUUGAUUAAAGAAUGGGUUGUUACGGCACCACAGUUGUAGGAGUGGAAGAGGCAAUGGGACCUAGCAGAUGGAGUGCUGCUGUGGGAUUCAGGAGACCUGAGUUCUGUUUCAAAUUCCACCAUUGAUUUGGUAUGUGAACUUGAGCAAGUUAUUUAAUUUAUUUAUGCUUUAGUUUUCCCAUCAGUAAAACGGGUGCAAUGCCAUUAACCUCCACUUCCAUGCUCUUUCUGUUCAACUAAUCUAAAGAGCUAUAUGAUAGGUAGAUAUUAUUAUAUGACCAGAAGACACUGAAAUCAUUAGAAUAGUUAAAACAGAUGCCAAAAUAGUUAGGAUACAAAACAUGGACUAUCAGAUUUCUGCAUGGUAACCAUUAGCCAAGCUUACACUUUUAUAAAACAGACACAAUAUCA
Molecule: long non-coding RNA, 534 nt
Filed under: Crocodylus porosus (Australian saltwater crocodile)
Lineage: Eukaryota; Metazoa; Chordata; Crocodylia; Crocodylidae
Description: lncRNA (ENSCPRG00005004489.1)
Source: RNAcentral